This 688-nucleotide ribosomal RNA is filed under the name Enterobacter sp. JA09. RNAcentral describes it as "bacterial SSU rRNA". It matches the Rfam family "Bacterial small subunit ribosomal RNA", at positions 76 to 758 of the family's 1533-position model. Lineage: Bacteria; Pseudomonadati; Pseudomonadota; Gammaproteobacteria; Enterobacterales; Enterobacteriaceae. The record is from RNAcentral.
GAGCUUGCUCUCGGGUGACGAGUGGCGGACGGGUGAGUAAUGUCUGGGAAACUGCCUGAUGGAGGGGGAUAACUACUGGAAACGGUAGCUAAUACCGCAUAACGUCGCAAGACCAAAGAGGGGGACCUUCGGGCCUCUUGCCAUCAGAUGUGCCCAGAUGGGAUUAGCUAGUAGGUGGGGUAACGGCUCACCUAGGCGACGAUCCCUAGCUGGUCUGAGAGGAUGACCAGCCACACUGGAACUGAGACACGGUCCAGACUCCUACGGGAGGCAGCAGUGGGGAAUAUUGCACAAUGGGCGCAAGCCUGAUGCAGCCAUGCCGCGUGUAUGAAGAAGGCCUUCGGGUUGUAAAGUACUUUCAGCGGGGAGGAAGGUGUUGUGGUUAAUAACCGCAGCAAUUGACGUUACCCGCAGAAGAAGCACCGGCUAACUCCGUGCCAGCAGCCGCGGUAAUACGGAGGGUGCAAGCGUUAAUCGGAAUUACUGGGCGUAAAGCGCACGCAGGCGGUCUGUCAAGUCGGAUGUGAAAUCCCCGGGCUCAACCUGGGAACUGCAUUCGAAACUGGCAGGCUAGAGUCUUGUAGAGGGGGGUAGAAUUCCAGGUGUAGCGGUGAAAUGCGUAGAGAUCUGGAGGAAUACCGGUGGCGAAGGCGGCCCCCUGGACAAAGACUGACGCUCAGGUGCGAAA